AUGGCCAGCUCGCCAGGGUCAGCUCUCCAUCAGUGGGCUUCUGUGCGCACCGUGGCCAGCCAGAGCAUCACAGACCUGAUAUUUCCUCUGCUGGUGGCCAAGAUGCCUUUUGUUUUUCACUUCCAGGCUCUCCUGCUUUUUUACACAUCACAAGGACACAUGAUGGGACCUCCAAAGCCCUCAGCCGUGGCCUGGCAGUGGGCAUUUUGCAUCCCAGCAGAAGCAGGCUGUGGUGGGGCGCUUGGGAAAAUCCCAAUACAUUGUUCUGAGAUGACCAGAAGUAUAAAGUUCUGGUUUAUAUUAAAAAGGAAGGUGCUAUUCUCAUUUGUUUUCAAUGCCCAAGGCUUCAAGAAACAGCACAUGCUGCUAGAGACCAGCAAUAUGAUACAAACAAUUGGCAAUAUUGCAUCAGUGAUUUAGAUGUCUCCUCUCAUUUUACCUGCAGUAUUAGAGAACAGUGAUCCACACUUCAGAACAAAUAGCAUGGUUGGAAAACAAAUAACAAAGUGAUCUCAUUUUUCUGAGGUGAGGAAAAGUCUCUCUUUCAAACAAUGUGCCAUCUCUAGCCUCCCUCAUCACAGUGCAACGGAGGGUGGGAUUAAUUGAACCUGAUUUAGUUAGAAAUGAAGCAUCUCACCUCAGUUCAUUGCCUAAUUCCUCCUGCAGUCAAUGGGGGCAGUGCCAGACAGUGAUUCAUCCCACCUACCCCUGUACCUGGCUUAAGUGGGAUGAAUCAGCCACCGCUGCCUCCUCUCUUGCCGCUGGCUGCAGAGGCUGUGCAGGCAGCAGCUCGGAUGAGAGGUCCUGCUUCUGGCCAGGUGUGCCUGGGUGAGGUGAGGCCUUUGUGUGUUGGCCUCCAGGAUGGACUCACCUGGCACUGGGCACGGCUCACAGGAUCCUCCCUGGGGUCACUGAGCCUGGGAGCCUCCCCUGGCUGCAGGAGGAGCAGAGGGCAGCAAGCCAGCCCCGCUGGCCACCUAACAUGUAGGCUGACGUGUCUCCUCAUGACGCACCAAGCCAUCCCCAAGUGUCUGGGAAACUGAGUUGGAUCCUGACAUGAAAACAAAGUUGGCUUAAGAGCAGUUCCUAGAGGAAGCAUAAGCUGCACAGGGGCAGAAACCACAUCAGCUGCUGACUGAGAAGUAUGGCAUUACUGGUUAAUGCAGUCCCCACACCUGCAUGCAGGUUGUUGAUGGCAAAGGAUACCAUCAUUACCCUCUUGGUUUCAAGCCCAACAGGUUCAGGAUGUGUGCUCUCUGACUGAACUGAAACUGCUCAUAGUAGAAAUUUCUUCGUACCUGCACCAUGGAAAUAUGGAGUAACUCUGCUUAAGACAAAACCAAACAAAAACUUUCCUACUAUAACUGUUAGUGGUUAUUUGGUGUCCAUAUACAUCUCUAAAUUCUUUUUCUUUACCCUAAAAAUCAAGGUCUCUGAUGUAUUGUGUAUCUAGAUCUCUAUCAGCUAAUUAUGCAUACUGCAAAACUAAUGCUUUGUUCAGCAGCUACAGAUGUUCUGUUCAUGUUGGAAAGCUAAACAGAACCACCCUGUUUGCCAUCUGGUUAUCCUUAAUUAUUACCUUGCUACCAAAUCUAUACCCUGAGGAUGAGAUUUACCACAGUUUGCCCACAUUUUAUCACUCUCUGAGAAACUGCUAUGGGAUAUUAUGAAAAUAGGUACAGUUCUGGAGCAUGAGCAUGUAACAGAAUGGUUAUUAAGCUGUCUGUACUCCUCUGGAUAGGAAUUUGUGCCCAGAUUGUACAUUGUGACUGUCUCUGAACCUCAUUGUCUUCUCCCUUCCUGUUAAAGGCAGCAUGGGGUUGCAGAGUGGCUCAAGCUACUAAUUUGCUCCAGUUUGCUAAGGCAGGUGCUCAGUUUGUUAAUUGCACCUGUGGAGACUUCUUAAGGAAAUACGAGGUAGACUUUUUUUUUUUUUCAUCACUCCUUGAAUUGGGAGCAAGUUACCAAGAGAAGAACAGCUGGUAGAAAAGAGGAAAAGUAAACAGAUCUUCAAAAGUUAUAGUGGAAAUAAUGCAGGAGUCAAAUGAAGUGUUUGCAGAGGCCAGGAGAUGUGAAUCCAAGGACUGGGAUUUGAUUACAGAAAGGGAGACCCUGCAGAAGACACCCAGGUGAGUGGAUAGAUGAAAACCCUGCAGACUAAUUAAUGUCCAGGGAACAGCUGAGCUGAAAUACAUAGGUAUAUAAGAAGCUUAGUUUAUGAUGAGAAAAGGUCUCUAUAAGGAUGGAGGAUCAGGAUCCAUGUUCCCUGGCCUGUGAGAGCACCCUAAGAUGAAGACAAUGAGGAAGAACCUUUUCUGUCGGUGUCAGACCAGACUCUAGGCAAGGUUAACUGUAAUGGAAGUCUGAGAAGGAAAUGUUUUACUAUCCCUGUAAUUAAUAUGAAACUCUAAAGACAUCCAGAACAGACCAAACUGAAGUCUGUUUUGGAAAGGAUGACUAGUUUACAAGGAAACAGUAAUGGUGUCUGGCCAGUUUGACCCUUGCUGAGUGGAGCAUAAAUAGAUAUCUGUCAUGUUUUUGGGACAGCAUCUCCUCUAGAAAGGCAUAAGCUAACUGGCUGGAUCCUUUGGGGUGUAGCAUCAGAUUCACUGUGCUAACUGUUACCCUGUUGCUGACAUUCAGCUAAUGAAGAAGGGCUUUUUAAUGUGUUUUUGUGGGGUAUUUUAAUUCACGAUCAUCACAAUUUCCAGUGUGAUUCACUGACUGGCGCAGGAAGCAGGAGCCCUGGAGCAGCAAGCUUUGCCUGGCUCGAGUUGGAGGCGACCCUGGGGAACAGGCAGCCUUUCAUUUGAAUAAUGCCUGCGUGGGGACGGGGUGGAGGAGUGGGUGACACUAUUUGGAAUGAAUUUCUAUUUAUAACCAUAAUUCGGCAUUAUGGAAGACAUCUUUUUGACGGGUAAGAGACAUAAAGUGUACCCACAGCUCAGCAGCUUUCCGUGCACUGAAGGGAAAGAGCAGCCUCUGGCCAGGCACCCACCACAGCACUGCUACGGUACCAUGUCCUGAACUGGUAGUGAUGGGAAAUGCCAGCAGUGGACUCUCAACAAGAUGAUUCACACUGCAGCUUGAUUAUCUGCAAAUACAAAUGCAACUCAGAAUUUGUGAACUUAAUGUUGUCCCAUUUCAGGGUGAUCUGAUCAGUGUGAAUAGUGUACGUUCCCUUUAGGAUUUUGUCAAAAUUUUAAUUGAACCCGUAAUAAUUUCAGGCUGUCUAAAAAUAGUUUUUUUGUUGUUUGUUUUGUUUUGUUUUUCUGUAACCUUCUGGAUUCCAAUCAUGUGAUAAUUGAAAUGUAAAUAUUUGCAAAGGAGACAAGUUUCAAAGCUCCUAAUUCUGCUCUUACCAGGGACUGGUGCACACUUCAACAAUUUUGCCACGUCAUUAGCUCUGUCAGCCAGAGCUGUUAUUCUCCCAUUUUCCCUACCCAUCCUGCCAAAAGCUGAUGCAGACAAAACUCCUCCAUCAAAAAAAAAAAAACACCUUUGACAACACAUUCAGACUAAAUUCUGGGAACUGAUUUAAGCUCUACCUGAGAAGGACUGUUUGUACCAUUGUAUCUGUGAUUGUGUGCAUGCAGGGGACCUGAAUUAGGUUUUCUCUAGAAUUUGUUGGUUCACCAAGACCUGCUGUUCCAUAACAGAGAGCUGGUCCAGGCCUGUGUCCAGAUGGUCUUCAAUUUCACGGAUUUUAGAGACUAAAUACAGAUCUACCUUUUGGGACUGUCUGUAAUAGGCGUUCACGUUUGCUAAAGCAGAUCCUAAUCCUGCAGUCCCUCCAUGGGAAGCAGAGUCACGUCCAAUGGAGCAAGUGGAGCUAGCAUGGACAUUUUGUGGCAGCAUGAGUACAAGGUGCAGAAGCUGAGUAAAAAUGGGAAAUGCACAGGUGCACAGUGAUGAGCUACAUCCUUAGACUACAAAAAAAUCUCAUACAUUUUUUAAGUCUUGGUUUAUCUCUUCAGGAAAGAUUGAAUGUGGCAGUGGGAAAGUGUUAAUAAAAAGGUAAAGUGGGAAGUAUUCUGAAUUGCC
This 4044-nucleotide long non-coding RNA is filed under the name Anas platyrhynchos platyrhynchos (common mallard). RNAcentral's name for it is "lncRNA (ENSAPLG00000017335.1)". The record is from RNAcentral. Lineage: Eukaryota; Metazoa; Chordata; Aves; Anseriformes; Anatidae.